RNAcentral lists this ribosomal RNA (1255 nucleotides) under Bacillus safensis. RNAcentral describes it as "bacterial SSU rRNA". It matches the Rfam family "Bacterial small subunit ribosomal RNA", at positions 86 to 1340 of the family's 1533-position model. Lineage: Bacteria; Bacillati; Bacillota; Bacilli; Caryophanales; Bacillaceae. The record is from RNAcentral.
CGGAUGUUAGCGGCGGACGGGUGAGUAACACGUGGGUAACCUGCCUGUAAGACUGGGAUAACUCCGGGAAACCGGAGCUAAUACCGGAUAGUUCCUUGAACCGCAUGGUUCAAGGAUGAAAGACGGUUUCGGCUGUCACUUACAGAUGGACCCGCGGCGCAUUAGCUAGUUGGUGGGGUAAUGGCUCACCAAGGCGACGAUGCGUAGCCGACCUGAGAGGGUGAUCGGCCACACUGGGACUGAGACACGGCCCAGACUCCUACGGGAGGCAGCAGUAGGGAAUCUUCCGCAAUGGACGAAAGUCUGACGGAGCAACGCCGCGUGAGUGAUGAAGGUUUUCGGAUCGUAAAGCUCUGUUGUUAGGGAAGAACAAGUGCGAGAGUAACUGCUCGCACCUUGACGGUACCUAACCAGAAAGCCACGGCUAACUACGUGCCAGCAGCCGCGGUAAUACGUAGGUGGCAAGCGUUGUCCGGAAUUAUUGGGCGUAAAGGGCUCGCAGGCGGUUUCUUAAGUCUGAUGUGAAAGCCCCCGGCUCAACCGGGGAGGGUCAUUGGAAACUGGGAAACUUGAGUGCAGAAGAGGAGAGUGGAAUUCCACGUGUAGCGGUGAAAUGCGUAGAGAUGUGGAGGAACACCAGUGGCGAAGGCGACUCUCUGGUCUGUAACUGACGCUGAGGAGCGAAAGCGUGGGGAGCGAACAGGAUUAGAUACCCUGGUAGUCCACGCCGUAAACGAUGAGUGCUAAGUGUUAGGGGGUUUCCGCCCCUUAGUGCUGCAGCUAACGCAUUAAGCACUCCGCCUGGGGAGUACGGUCGCAAGACUGAAACUCAAAGGAAUUGACGGGGGCCCGCACAAGCGGUGGAGCAUGUGGUUUAAUUCGAAGCAACGCGAAGAACCUUACCAGGUCUUGACAUCCUCUGACAACCCUAGAGAUAGGGCUUUCCCUUCGGGGACAGAGUGACAGGUGGUGCAUGGUUGUCGUCAGCUCGUGUCGUGAGAUGUUGGGUUAAGUCCCGCAACGAGCGCAACCCUUGAUCUUAGUUGCCAGCAUUCAGUUGGGCACUCUAAGGUGACUGCCGUGACAACCGGAGAAAGGUGGGGAUGACGUCAAAUCAUCAUGCCCCUUAUGACCUGGGCUACCACGUGCUACAUGGACAGACAAAGGCUGCAGAACCGCAGGUUUACCAACCCCUAAAUCUGUUCCCAUUUGGAACCAAUCUGCAACCCAAUGGGUGAAACUGGAACCCAUAAUC